Cygnus olor (mute swan) is the source of this 4460-nucleotide long non-coding RNA. RefSeq lists it as uncharacterized. The record is from RefSeq and is a predicted model, not a curated record. Lineage: Eukaryota; Metazoa; Chordata; Aves; Anseriformes; Anatidae. The transcript has 8 exons.
GAAAUCUCCUCUUUCUGUCUUUGUAGUUACCACGUCCAGCUGAUGCAAAUUCUCUCUAAAUUGGUAUAAAUGGGAUUUCCUUAUAACAUAUGCAAGCAAAUCCUGCUCUCACCAUCAGUACUUAGCAGCAAAAGGAGCACCUGUAAAGCCAGUGACACCAACAUAGAAAAGAAUUUCUAUUGCUUCUAAUUCAUCUUAAUAUGAUCAUCGAAGCAUCACUUUUUAUUUUACUAUGUAUGUAUACUUACAAAAACAGAUGAACUCUCAGAUAAUAUGGUCCAACUCUAUAGAGAGUGCUUUGGAGAUUCAAGUUAAAGACAAAAUGGACAGUAACAAUAAUUAUUUUUACAUAAGGAUUCUGAAAAUCAGUUUCUUUCCCUGCAGUGAAAACCAGUAAUUUGCACAACUUCGCAUGUAGUUGCUGUUUGUACUUUCCAUAAAGGAUUCCAAUUUUCUGAAGAAAAGUCUGGAAGACCUGUGUUUAGAAUUAAUAUCCUUCCUUGGGAAUAAAUCAUGCUUCUCAAGUAUACAGAACUCAUUCCUUCGUGAAGAAUGACUUCUAGAGAGACAUGCUGAUGUUACUGUGAACUUCCAUAGUCAAAAUGGAUCCCAUUGCAAGAUCUGAAUAGGACAUUGCCACACAGAUAAAUGAUCUCAGCAACAGUGAAGAAAAAGCUCUUGAAAAGGCUCCACCUGGAUCCUGUAUUCUGCCGGCCUUGUAUCUAAUGCAGAUACCUCACAUGAAGAAAUUUAAGAAAAAGAAAAUAGCUCCUGAAUGCAAUGUUCACAGUCAGACCUUGCCCACAACAGAAGCACUGAAGACAAAGAAUAGAAGAUAGUAUGAUAAAGAAAGACAAAAUAAAAUGAUGUAAAGAAGAUCCAUUUACUACAAACGUUCUCGCUACAACAAGUCAGACUAUUUGCCACAGAGUGUAGAUUCUUGUAACUGCAGUUUAUAUGUAGGCAUUUGGAUACCUGGACUCCAGAGGGGACUCUGAAUGGCUCAUACAUUUCAGUGUGAUGACUACCUUACAGCAAGCAUGACUAGAAGGCUUAUGCUUCAGUAAGGUCAGACCACAGAUGAACUGUCGGUAGAAAACUUCUGAUAACAGGAAGAUAGAAACAUGGUUACAGCUCAUCGCAUGAGUAUUUCCUUCUUGUUAUCCCAGCAGAAAGACAGGCGGUACCCAUAAAGAUACCCAAAAUGAAGAAACAAUAACAGUGGACCAUAACCUGGCAUCAAAACAAUUGUGAAGACUGUGAUGUAUUUAUUGUGUAACUGGUAAAAGGAUUAAAACACCAGCCCAAAAAAACAGUUCAUUGCCAGCAAUCAAGAGAAACUGAAGAGAUGUAGCAAGGUCUUGAUACCAGCCAUCACUUGUCCUCCAUAGAAGGAUCUUGACUAGACCACAGAUAAACACCCAUCAUGGUGCUUGUGAGUAUGGAAAUAUGAGAAUGUUAGUUAGUGAAACUCAAGAGAAUGAGAAUGAAUGGCUAGAAUCAGUUUUGUUUAAAAUGAAUAUCACCUUCCUCUUCCAUAAGGUUUUAUGCUGUUUUGUUAUGUUAAAUUCCUACAACGGGGGUACUUUUUGUUUCCAGAGAGCUGUUUAUAUUUUAUGAAGUUUGCAAUACUUUUGCGUAAGCCUAAGUUGCUUCUGCUGUCCUUAUGUUCUUUCUUUCUCUAAAGAUUCCAAUGUUUUCCUUUGCUUGGUGCACAAGACUGACAGAUGAUAGCUAUAUGACUUCCUCCCCCCUUGACAUAUGAUACCUUGUCUCUAUGCAGAUUAGUUAAGAAUUUAAGGGAAGAUUUUCUAAGGUAGACACGACAAUUAGGUAUUUAACUCAAUGGAGAAAUCUACGAAAACGUACCUUUAUUACAGAAAUUGAUAAACACUUGCUUUUUCUUAAGGAAAAUGCAAAUAUUUUGUUUUUAUUUUGGAAUAUGAACCCAUGUUUCUAAUGAAUGCAGUGCUCUAACUACUUCAAAAAUGUUUUCAUAUUGAAAACUUACCUUCAUAUGUAAAACUGUGAUUAUAGAUAAAGCCUAAAUAUAUGAGAGGGAAAAGUAGAAUCUGUGAUUGUAAAUGAGUAAUAUGGUGAAAUGCAAAGAGGCUAAACAACUUGUAUCUCAGCAUUGUUUACCAUAUGGAUUUACAAGCACCAUUAUAGUAAUUGCUGCUAUUUUCAGACUUAAAUCUUAUCUUACAUAUGCUUAACCUUGCUGAAUGGGAACACCAAUUACUAUGUUAUAUGAAUAUUAAUGGUAAUGUGACAACAUUUUGUAUAGAGCUGCAUUUUGAUUAUUCAAGAAAGUUUAUAGUUAAUUUGAAGAAAAAAAUUAUCCCAUUUCUACUUUCUUUUUGGGAACAUUUUUGGGAGCAAAACAAUAAUACAUUCUACUUUCUUUGCUGGGUCUGGGUCUUUUGCCUGCUAAGGAAGAAAAAAGUAUGCUGCAGGGAAAGAACAGAGUUCACUUAUGUUUUCUUACCAGAUCACAUUUAACUGAAUCAAAGAUAAAAAAAGAAGUUGAGAUUCUGAAUGGAGCCUCUGGCCACUCACUGUUCCAAAACAGAGGGCUACGGGUAAUUUAGAAGUUACUGGACUGACCAUUUGCUUGCCAUCUGUUUCCCAUUGGUUUAACAGAAUCUCCUGAAUGAUCUGUUUUCUGACCAUUCUUGGAAGCAUUCGUAGCCCCAAAAUAGCCCCAAAAAAAAGAUCAGGAAUGAUCCUGUACUCUUUGCAUUGUUCUGGCAGCAGAAAAGAAAUUGAGAGCUAAACUAGGUCAUAUCCUUGGUUGACCAAAGUCUUGCCAAGAGGUUUUGGAGGUAUCUAACAGCUCUGUCAAUCCCCAGCUAGUGGUGAGAUUAGAGAACAAGCUUUCAAGCAAUUUUGUGUUACAGGUUAGUCUAGCAAAAGAUCAGGAUCAUGACCUGGUUUAUUCUGGGGGUCUUUUCCUACAUGGCGUUUAGGCACACCGAGGAUCCUUGCCCCAAAUCCUUCAUGGGCACCCACUCCAGGUCUGUAGAAUUUUGAUAAUGAUACUGGGCUGACAAAGCACUGUCAAAGAAUGUGGGAUAAUUCAGAAUUAAUAAUUAAAACAGAAGCUACUGUGUGCAACUUAUAUAUAGCCUAAAAGCCGUAACAUAGUUCAGUCAGCCUCGGUCUCUACUAUCAGGCAUACUCUAGUCACUGUUGCUCUGUGGAAUAUUAAAACUUGUCUUUUGAUGAUGCAUUAGACUGACUUAGCACAGAAGUAAAUUAUUCUUAAAUCCUGGAGGACAACAGAUAUUUUGUCCCGGUUUACUUAAUCAUGGUGAAUUUUGCUUUGAUUAAAUGUAGAUUUAAUCACCCUGUAGAGUUUUAUUUGUAAAAUUAGGGAUACUAUGGUCUCAACUACCACCAGAGUUCAGGCACCAAUUUUUUCUCUUUACUUAGAAUAACAUCUAGAAAGCUAAAAGCUCAUAUUGCACAAACUUUGAAAGAAAAUGUGAAUUUCUGUAAUUAGGAACACAAGCAUAGUAACCUUAAAUGAAUGUCAUAUUCUUACAAGGAGACUUAUAAUGAGGGUGACAAGAACACAUGCUGCUGAAACAUAACCUUCUGAACUGUACUGCAUAGAAGUUGCUGUAAUGAUUCAUUGUUUUUUGUUUGCCUUUUUUUUUUUAAUUAAUUCAGUGAUGGGUGAAAUUUGUUAUGACUUGCUUUUCUUGUCCUUAUGUGACAUUUGCCACAUGAUUAUCAUCUUUUAAUGUUUUAUAGAAUCUCCCAACUAUCUUCUGUUCUUGGUAAAAUUAUUGUCAUUGUUGGCCUACAUCAUUAUCAAAUUCCUUUAAAAUUCCUUUAAAAAAAAAAAAAAGAUAGUAUUGUAUUAUAGACUCCUAAUGCCUCAAAACUCAAAGCUGUAACAGGUCAGCAUUUUCCAGAUUUUCAAGGGAAAUUCUUGCAAAUUAAGGAUUUAUAACUGGAGUUGCCUUGCAAUCUCAAAUUGAUUCUUUCAUGAGAUGUUUAAAAGGAAUAGUGUUGUGAACAUCAACAAUUGCUAUUAUUCUCAGGCAGAAGUCUUUUUUUAGGUAAGUUUGAAAAAUAUGCAUCCAAUUAUAUUUCUGGUUCGUUUUUAGUUUUGAAAAUUCUUGGAAGUAGAAACUACUUGGAAUCUUAAUGUUCUGUUUUCUAAAAUGCUCAUGUGCUAGCCAUUGAUACCUCAUUCUUGCAUUGUUUCUAAUUGUACCUUGUGAAAUUAAAUAUAUUUCAGCUACAAAAAGUAAAUUAUUGAACUGAAACGAAUACAUUAGAUAUAUUUUGCCUUGAAAGUGUACCCAUAAGUUAGGUAAAAUCAAAUUGGGGAAAAAAAAAAGAUUUCUCAGUGAUCCUUCUAGUAGUGUAUGCUUCUAUGCUAUUAUGCAGAACAGCUUGGAGUUAAGUGGUUUAUUUUGCCUUCGUUUUAUUCUGCAUAUUUUAUU